Caenorhabditis japonica is the source of this 46-nucleotide non-coding RNA. The record is from Rfam. Lineage: Eukaryota; Metazoa; Nematoda; Chromadorea; Rhabditida; Rhabditidae.
CCAACGGCCCUCUUCAGGGCCACAAAUACUCAAAAAUUCAUACAUU